RNAcentral lists this long non-coding RNA (546 nucleotides) under Linum usitatissimum (flax). RNAcentral describes it as "long non-coding RNA (LUSI_LNC002201)". The record is from RNAcentral. Lineage: Eukaryota; Viridiplantae; Streptophyta; Magnoliopsida; Malpighiales; Linaceae.
UUUCGGAGUUCCGCAGACUUCUAAGAACUGCAAGCAUGGGAUCAAGAACUUUGCCAAGUCCAUCCGGCCACCGCAAUUCUCGGAGACUCUAAGAACCUAUUCGAGCUUUGGAGGAAGAACGGUAUUGAUUCCUUUUCUGUCAUUUUUUCUGAUCUGGAAGUUGAUAGUGAGGGAAGCUCAAGAACCCAAAGAGGGUAUCUUUUAUACUUCAAAGCACACUUCCAGUUUGAGAGCACAAUCUUUUUUGAGGGAGAGGACCACAGGAUGUAAAAUGUGUAAAAGGUGGCGAGUUGGAAAUAAUGUAAAGUCGUUUGCUUUUCGGAAAAAAAUGGGUUGGGUAGCUAGUGGGUGAUGAUGGACCGUAAUGUUCUGGCAGGAUGUACAUUCUUCUUGAGUGUUUGAAAUCUAUAGUGAGAAAAAUAUUACUUAUUAUGAUGUCAAUGGAAGAUUUUAGGGGUUUAGAGUUGAGAUGAAUCUGUUUCAUGGCCUUUUUCUUUGUUUUUUCAUUUCACAUUUCAAUGGCGACAGAUUGCAGCAGAAAUUUAC